RNAcentral lists this ribosomal RNA (440 nucleotides) under uncultured bacterium. RNAcentral's name for it is "partial 16S ribosomal RNA". It matches the Rfam family "Bacterial small subunit ribosomal RNA", at positions 355 to 788 of the family's 1533-position model. The record is from RNAcentral.
UGGGGAAUUUUGGACAAUGGGCGAAAGCCUGAUCCAGCAAUGCCGCGUGUGUGAAGAAGGCCUUCGGGUUGUAAAGCACUUUUGUCCGGAAAGAAAUCCUUGGCUCUAAUACAGUCGGGGGAUGACGGUACCGGAAGAAUAAGCACCGGCUAACUACGUGCCAGCAGCCGCGGUAAUACGUAGGGUGCAAGCGUUAAUCGGAAUUACUGGGCGUAAAGCGUGCGCAGGCGGUUUGCUAAGACCGAUGUGAAAUCCCCGGGCUCAACCUGGGAACUGCAUUGGUGACUGGCAGGCUAGAGUACGGCAGAGGGGGGUAGAAUUCCACGUNUAGCAGUGAAAUGCGUAGAGAUGUGGAGGAAUACCGAUGGCGAAGGCAGCCCCCUGGGCAAUACUGACGCUCAUGCACGAAAGCGUGGGGAGCAAACAGGAUUAGAUACCCU